This 24-nucleotide unclassified non-coding RNA is filed under the name Mus musculus (house mouse). RNAcentral's name for it is "oocyte_clustered_small_RNA3831". Lineage: Eukaryota; Metazoa; Chordata; Mammalia; Rodentia; Muridae. The record is from RNAcentral.
UAUAACCCCUCAACUACGCCCCAU